UACGUAGGGUGCAAGCGUUGUCCGGAAUUAUUGGGCGUAAAGAGCUCGUAGGCGGUCUGUCGCGUCUGCUGUGAAAACCCGAGGCUCAACCUCGGGCCUGCAGUGGGUACGGGCAGACUAGAGUGCGGUAGGGGAGAAUGGAAUUCCUGGUGUAGCGGUGGAAUGCGCAGAUAUCAGGAGGAACACCGGUGGCGAAGGCGGGUCUCUGGGCCGAUACUGACGCUGAGGUGCGAAAGCGUGGGGAGCAAACAGG
This 253-nucleotide ribosomal RNA is filed under the name uncultured bacterium. RNAcentral's name for it is "partial 16S ribosomal RNA". It matches the Rfam family "Bacterial small subunit ribosomal RNA", at positions 524 to 776 of the family's 1533-position model. The record is from RNAcentral.